Non-coding RNA from Rattus norvegicus (Norway rat), 5551 nucleotides. NCBI's taxonomy places the organism in Eukaryota, Metazoa, Chordata, Mammalia, Rodentia, Muridae. The record is from RefSeq and is a predicted model, not a curated record.
CCCAUGCUUUAAAAUAAACUCUAUUCUAUAUUGGUACUACUACUACUACUACUACUACUACUACUACUACUACUACUACUAGAAGAAGAAGAAGAAGAAGAAGAAGAAGAAGAAGAAGAAGAAGAAGAAGAAGAAGAAGAAGAAGAGGAGGAGGAGGAGGAGGAGGAGGAGGAGGAGGAGGAAGAGGAGGAGGAGGAAGAGGAAGCAGCAGCAGCAGCAGCAGCAGCAGUAACAGCAGCAGCAGCAGCAAAACAGAAUGAUGUGAUAUGGUCAAUGGUGGCACCAUGGAUAGUUUUUGUUUGUUUCUUUCCUUACUCUUUUUUGAGAUGAGAUCUUGCUACAUUGCCCAGGUUGGCCUAAAACCAACUGAGGCUUGCUGUCUCAUCCUCGGAGUGGUUAAGACUAUAGGUAGGCACCGUCACAUCUGACUUCAUUUCUCUCUCUACGUGCAGUUAAACUUUUCCUAGUUAGAACCAAAAGUUACAACCCCAUUUAUCUCAGUGUUUCAUUUAUCUGUGUUAGUUUAUUGGAGCUAAAAUAAAAUUAAAUUAUAAUCCUGUAUUUAGCUUAAAUACUCAAUUUAAGAAAUUCAGCAUAUAGUGCCUUACUGAGCUCAUGCUUCCGGAUUUAUCGAGCACCAAGCAGACCACUCGCUGUCUGGACUUGAGCAAGGAAAACGUGGGUGGAGGAGGGGCUUCUGUUCCUCUCAUGGGAGGGGCAUGCUGAAAGUCAGCGGACUCCUUGAUUACGUCCCACGUGCUUCUGCCAUUGCAUAUUUUGUUUUGUAGGUUUGGGGCUUCCGUAUUGUGGGUUUUUUCUGUGCAAAAUUCAACCACCUGAAAAAAAAAACCAAUUAAAACUUGAUGUAAUAUAGAGCAGAUCGUCUUUUUUUUCUUUUCCAAAUAUAAAGUUAGCCACUACGUGCAUCCUGAACAGGACUUGUCUCCUGACAAGAAUUACUUCAUGUUAGAUGCUUUGUCGUCCAUUUUACAUGGAUGUGAAAGCGGGCAGCACUGUCAAUGCUGUGGCCAACGCUGUUUGGAGGUUUUAAAGUUAGAUUGUCAGUGCAGAGUGUGGCCGUGCAUGUGGUUACGCUACCUUCUUGCUUACUCGACCACACUUCUCCAGGACCCAGUAUCCUGAAUUAAAUGUAAGAGUGUGUGGUUUCUGGUCAUUUCUGUCCCCUAAAAGCAGAAUAGGAGAGGCGGCCAUCUUUUACUGUGUGUGCUGUGCAUCUCCACAGUGAGCCCAGAAACUUGAGGACAGACACCCUAACAGUCUAGCUUGCUAUCAGUGCCUACGAGUUUUGACACAUGAACAGCACCCUUGGAAGAGAAUAAACGUGUAAGAGAUGCAGUUAUUUCUCCAAGUGAUGAAUUGCAGCUAAUAAUUCCGCCAGUGGAUGCUUUUAUUACUUGAAACCCCCAAAAUCCUCCAGGUUUUGAAAACCUGGAGAAAGAUGGGAAAGUGUCCUUAUAAACUACCCCAGAAUCCAGGAAGGAAACUCCUUACCGUCAACCCACAGAAACGGUUUUUAAGUCAUUUCCUUUAGCGUCCCCUCCUGCCAUGUUUGCAGUGUUAAGCUCAGACUCAACACUAGCUGAUUACAUCUGCAUUUCUCACACACUGUAAGAGCUUUGUUUCUGACAUGGCGCAGGUUCAAAUCUCCCGAAUGAGGUUCUAUUGGGUGGGGAGAAAAUAUGGAUGCAAACAAAGGCUUUCUUCACAUCCUUCCAGCUGUGAGGUGAUGCCUGUCACACUGUCCCCUCUUCCUCCUGCCGUUGUCUUUGAAUCAAGUCUCUCCCCUGCCUAUUGCCGGGGCUCCCAGCUGACCUCCCAGCCUCACCCAUCCCGUUCCGUCCUGUCCCGUCCCAUCCCAUCCCAUCCCAUCCCGUCCCUGCCUUCACAAUGGUAUUGCUGUAUUUCUGGGGGAAUUAAGCAGCUACCUCACCAUUCGUCCAAAGUAGAGAGGAGAAAAACCCAACACCCUAGCUUUGUAGCUUUGCAGGUUCAGCCCCAUUUCCUGCCUCUUGUUCAGCACGCAUUUCUUGAUUCCACCAUAGAAUAUCAUUCGUCUCUAGAGUGCACCAGAAACUUUCACCCGAAUUCUCACUCACCCUAAUGGUGAUUUUGCACCAACUAGGAAAACGCCAUUUUAUUACAAGCUUCUAUUCUCCCCAAAUUAUUCUAACAAGUAUUAGAAUCUUUCCAAUGGCGAUGGAAAUCUUUAGACAAUUCUCACCUUGGCAUUACAGGUAGCAACUCUGCCCGGUGGCUCUAGUUGCUGUCAGUCUGUCUCAUUGCCUCGAAUUCUUUCUCUCUUACCGCUUCGCCAAAUUCAGACUCAUUUCCCAAUCCCAGCUAAAAAGCCCAUCCACUCGGAAGCCAUCUUCCUCGGCCCUUUCGUAUGACUCUGAUUCAUACACCCGUGUCUCUUCCUACUUGGCUUUAAUUCUGCCUCAGUACUUCUACUGCUCUCCCUAGAACACUUCUCUAGGAAAAUUAUUUUUAAUUAUUUACUUGGUGUCAGCUCUUAACACAGCACUGAACUCGAAAUGGAGAGAAUUCUGUUUAGGGGCUGGAAGGAGCGGAGGGAGAAUAUUCAGUAUUGUGUGCUGUCCAUGUCCAGAGCUUGAGGUUAUGUUCUGGGCUCGGUAUGUAAUAUAUUUAAUCUAUAGCGUGAUAAUUAGAAGUUUGUCCUAUGUGGGAUAAGAUGUUUGGCUAAAACACAGUGCUUCUCUCUGAACAAUGUCCUGUGUAAUUUGCUUCCGUUCGGACUUCAGGUGUCUUUCCUUACUACUUGUGUCCCAAAUAGGCAGCAGUUGUGUCCUGAUGGUAAAUGCCAGUGGUGUGUGGUUUAGAAUAGGCAGUGUGUGUUCUGAUGAUCUGCUGUGUCAGGUAAUUUCUGGUCUGCUUGGAUGCUGAAUAUUUUGUUGAUCCAGGCUCAGCCAGUCCAAGUGAACUAUCCUUGCUCACGUCAGAUAUUUCUAGAAGAAGGGUCCAUUUAAAACGUUGUCUACUUCACACAUUUCAGAAGAAAACUUCUAACUUUCCUCAUUGUCUAGGUGCCACAACAAUUUUUAAUUCCAUCAGAAACUUUUUUUUUGUGACCGGGGUAGUGUUCGUUGCUCGUGUGUUAGUAUACGAGGGACUGCUUCUUUUCAAUUAAGCUGGUCUUAUCAUUUAGAGAUGCAACUUUGGUUUGUUUUUAAAACACUUUCUCAUUUAAGAUAUUCUUACAUUUGCACACAUGUUUGUAAGGUAAACACAGUAUGUUUAUAUAAUUUAAGACUGGAGAAUAGCAAAAGAAGUUACCAAUAGUAAAUAGACAACCUUCACCAUGGCAGGAAACACUUGCAGAUGGUUCACAACAAGAGACUUACCAAUUUAUAAGGAACUCAAAGAAUUUAGCAGCAAAAUCUUCCCAGAAAUAACAAGAUUUAAAAUAGUUGGAUGGUGUAAAUAGUCGUUUCUCAAGAAAAUACAUCUAAGUGACUGACUAGAAAGUAGGCGGAAAAGAGCUCCUCACCACCAACCAUCAAGGAAGUGCAAGCCAAAGCCACAGUGAGGUCUACUCUCACACCAGUCAGAUGGCUAAAAAAGACAAAAGGAAAAUGCUGGAGAGGGCCCUAAAACGGGGAAUGUUCAUGCGUGGUAGGAGUCUGAGUUAGCACGCUGGGGAAAAUAAAAUGGGAGUUUGUAAACACUAAAAUGUAGAAACACUAUAUGACCAAGCAACCUCUAUAUUUCUAUCUCUCUCUCUGUCCAUAUCUAUAUAUGUCGCACAGAUAUCCAGCAACCACAUCAACUGCACAUCCACGUCAGUCACGGUGUUCAAAGUGUAGACCCAACCUAAGUGUCCGUCAGUGGACGAGUGGACUAAUAAGAGGUAGUUACCCACACUCAGGUAUUUCACUCAUAAAUAAGAACAGAGCACUAUUGUGUGCCCCAAUGUGAGUGAGCCCAGAGAACACUGUGCUAAGUGAUACAAUUGGAGCAAGAAAAUAAAUGCUUUGUGAUCUCACAAAUACACUGAGGCUAAGAAAACUGGUGUAAUAGAAGUAGAGUAGAAUGCUGGUCAUCGGCAACUGGGAAUCCAAGUGAGGAGGACACAGAGAGGUUGAUUAAUAGUAUAAAAUUAUAGGUAGAUUGCUGGAAUAUAUUCUAGUGUUUAAUAGCAGAAUAGAGUGACUUUAGUUAACAGUCAUUUGUGCUUGAAAAUAGCACGAUGAGAGGAUUUUGAAUGUUCUUACCACAAGAAAGAGCAUAAAUCUUUGAGGUUAUGGGAACUAGAAUGCUCACGUUCCUGAAGUAAAAUCUUCUCCCGGUGGCUUCAAACAGGUAAGUGGAGGCUUGAGUUACCAUUUCCUGACAAAAUGAGAAGUGCAUUGUUGUAAUAAUGUCACACAACAAAAUUAGCAUUGAAGUAUGUACACAAACUAGAAGCAAAUCAGGAGCUCCUUUCCCUCAAAAAGAAUGGUUUUUACCAAGUCUCAAGUCUGUAUGUUUCUCUUCGCGUGCCCAAAUUCACACCUGUUUUUACCUGAUUCCCCUUGUGGUCAGCAGUGUAGGCUGGAGAUAGGAAUGAAGAAGUUGGGUCAGUUAUAAGCGUAAUUAGGAUCGGAAGGCUGUGGGAGACUCUCAGAAAAUGAGAGGGAAGGGUAAGAGUCUAAAUCUACAGCCAGCGCCCUGGCCUACGGUGGAGGGGCGGAGUUGAGUAGAGGCAUCAUGGCCAAUAGCCCGGCUCCUAGUGUUGAUGAGGACAGCAGAUAAGCACUGCACCGAGCCAUCUCUGUUGGACAGGCAAAAACUGUGGAACUUUUCUGCAGCUUGGAGUGCCAAUGAACGAUACGUAGGAAGCGGGUGUUCUCCUCCUGUUGCUGCAUCUCUUGGCCUGGGUAAGAUUCUAACCACCCUUGGAAAAGGCGGGCAAGGGAGCGAGGUCAAUCAAAAUGGCUGCGCUCCCUCUUUUGUGCCAUUUUGACAAACAAGCAAGAGCCCUCUCUUUUGUUUUUAUGAGGUGGGGCUGAUGUGGAUACAGAUGCUAACCAGCAUUGUGAGGAACAGCAAGGAAUCCAAAGCACCCCCAGCAGCAGAGAGCACGGGAAGAUAAUUCAUGAUUUUCUGCACCAGAAAGCACCCCGGAACGCCCAAGACACUUAGCCUGUACAGAGGACGGAGUGCGAGAAGCAGAGUUGCUGGGGACGCAAGGAGGAAGCACAUAUGCUGAAAAUGAAGAAGAAAAGACAGUCCUGCGAGUGCACAGAGGUGGCCUGCUCAGGGCUCAGAGAAUGGAGGAUAGCUAAGCUCCUUGGAUUUGUUCUGUUUGCUUUGACCGAGCACAUCCUGAGAGCUACUGUGCUGUGCACAGAGAACCGUUCUCGAACGACAGUCUUCUCGCUUUCUUUAUCUUAUAUUUUUAAGCCCUCAGUCACAAACUUUUAAGGUUUGGUAUAUUGUUAUAUUUGAUGUUAACUUUGUCAUUAAUAAGCACACUAUACUUAGAGAAGAGAGAACUCAAAAUAAAUGUAGUAAACAUUUCUUAUUAACA